Molecule: unclassified non-coding RNA, 262 nt
Filed under: fungal sp.
Lineage: Eukaryota; Fungi
Description: partial internal transcribed spacer region
Rfam family: Eukaryotic small subunit ribosomal RNA (bases 1-46)
Source: RNAcentral
AAGUCGUAACAAGGUAACCGUAGGUGAACCUGCGGUUGGAUCAUUAAACAAUAACUGGUUUGUAAUUGAUUUUAGUUGUAGAGUUUAAUGACUCUCCUAAUAACAAAAACAACCAAUUUCACACCUUUGUGCACCUCUAUAGAUGCUUGGUUGAAUGGUAACAUUCACUAAGUAUUCUUUUAUAACCCAAAUUUUUUAUUAGCCUGAGAUUUUACUGUAAAGUAAUUGUAAACAAUUUUUGACAACGGAUCUCUUGGCUCUC